This 69-nucleotide transfer RNA is filed under the name Cavia porcellus (domestic guinea pig). It matches the Rfam family "tRNA". Rfam says of the family: Transfer RNA (tRNA) molecules are approximately 80 nucleotides in length. The record is from Rfam by way of RNAcentral. Lineage: Eukaryota; Metazoa; Chordata; Mammalia; Rodentia; Caviidae.
GGAAGUGUAGCUCAGUGGUAAAGCAUUUGUCUGGCAUACAUGAGACCCUUCAUUCAAUAGCCACCUCCA